CAAUACAUCGGAAAUCUUUAAACGUUUGCAUUUGUGAAUAGAAACUUUAUACCUAUCUGACAUACGAUUUGACAUUUCAAUCUUUAUCUGGUUUUAUUGUUUGUAAAAGAUUGUAUCGAAUUCACUUCUUAAAAGAAAUAUAUAUCUAAGUGUUUAGAAAAUACUUGUUAACGUUUCUAUUUCACUAGCUUUUGAUUUUGGACUAAACAUAACAUUACAUCAUGCAAUGAAUAUACAGUGCAAAACUUAAUCAUUUAUGCUAAUUUGAUAUUUCAAAGGCUGAUUACAGUAGAAGACGGAUAGAUAAUAAAUAUACAACAUGUAAUUAAACUAUGGGUGGAUAAAAGUAAAAGGAACACAACACAAGAACAGAAUGUCUUGUAGACCUACAUCUACACCAUUCGGAUUUCAUAUUCCGGAAGGAAUGAAACCAUUUCAGUUACCUCUAAAAUAUGACAGGCUUUACACAACAUCUGAAGUCAGACAAGCUUGGGUGCAUUCACAUGGAAAUGAGAAAUUAGGAGAAAGACUAUCCGUGCGUCAAUUUCCUAUUUCGUUGCUAAGGCAACAAAUGGAUAAAAGACGGGCACAUUGUAGAAGUGCAGAUCCGCAUUACUGGAUGUCAGACGAAGAUAAGAGGAGAGCAGCCGACAAAAGAAAAAGUUUCGAACGUCAGUGGAGUGCAGAGGUUUCUAAGAG
Long non-coding RNA from Mytilus californianus (California mussel), 699 nucleotides. RefSeq lists it as uncharacterized. NCBI's taxonomy places the organism in Eukaryota, Metazoa, Mollusca, Bivalvia, Mytilida, Mytilidae. The transcript has 4 exons. The record is from RefSeq and is a predicted model, not a curated record.